UUAUUAUUUUAUUGAAAGACUUAAGUAAUUUUUGUUAUUUGAGGCUUUUUUAUUGCCCUUUCAGAAUCCUGUUGUUGAAAGGUGAGUCAGCAACAAGUCUGUGAACACAAGUAGAGCCUGAGUUCUGUUCAAAUGGAUUUGACUGAGACUCACAGUUCUGUGGUUGAUCCUACACAAGGAAUGGAGAAGGGCAGAACCCAUGAACUCCUCUUGAGGUACUGAAGAAUUGGUGCUGUAAAUGGAGCAGUGAAGUGAAGUAAUGAGGUGCCUGCUGAUAGAAGAGGAUUUAAGGCCUCAUUGGGGAGAAGAGUCUGUGAUGGCUGCUGCAUCUGAGAGGAAGACAGAUCCUGGGAGAAGGCCUGAGACAGCUGUAGCAGAGAAUGGGUAA
Molecule: long non-coding RNA, 388 nt
Organism: Chrysemys picta bellii (western painted turtle)
Lineage: Eukaryota; Metazoa; Chordata; Testudines; Emydidae
Source: Ensembl